Molecule: long non-coding RNA, 1612 nt
Organism: Gallus gallus (chicken)
Lineage: Eukaryota; Metazoa; Chordata; Aves; Galliformes; Phasianidae
Source: Ensembl
GUUUCUUUCUGGAGAUUGCUCCUCCUGGAGUUUUUCCUGUGAGCCUAUGAUACAGGACUAAGAAAAACUCUGUUUUCUCGGGCUUCAAGGAGGGAUAAACUGAAAAUGUUGUUUUGAGGCCUGAAUCUUUCUUCUCAUGGUUCUUACUGACCUUUUGAAGUAAUUUUGCUCUGGUCAUUACUCACUUGCAAGCUCGUUUGAAGGGAACCUCAGCCUUACCCUUGAGAGUCCUUAGAGUUGGAAGAGACCUUUAAAGAUCAUCUAGCUCAACUCCCCUGCAAUGAGCAGAGACAUCCACAGUUGGAUCACGGAGCCCAGAACCUGGUGCAGCCUCGCCUAGAAAGUCUCUACAGACAGGACAUCCACCACAUCUCUAGGCAACUUGUUCCCUUGCCUCACUACACUCGCUGUCAAAGACAUUUUCCUUAUAUCCAAACUACAUUCACCCUUUUUCAGUUGGAAAUCAUUUCCCCUAGUCCUGUUACCACAGACCCUUCUAAAAGAGUGUCCUUUUCUGUAGCUCCCUUUUAGAUACUGAAAGGAUGCUAUCAGUUAGAUCACAGUACAAAUUACCUGUAUAUCUAUGCCUCGCUAUCAUAGUACUGGACAUCCUCAGUCACCAGGAAGGAAUCUGUGAGUUGAACCCAGCUCAAAUCUGCUGCUGUCUUUAAAAUUAAUUUUGUAGUUGUUUAGCUUUUAUACACUGUGUUGGGCUGAACCAUGUUUUCACUCUUGUGCUGGUUUAACUGCUUUAGAGAGAGAGAUUCACAUUCUUUUAAAGAUCUCAGGGAGAAACGCAGAACUUGUUGAUCCAUUCAAUUGCUAAUAGCUGUUUAUCUAAAACAAAAGCGACUCUCCUUUUGUGUUGAGAUAAAGUUAACUUCUUUGCAACAGCUGUGAUCAGUCACACUCUGCAUUAUUCCCUGAGAUUCAUGAGCAUCUCCCGUUGCCCAUCUCCACUGAUUCUUCUUUCAUUAUACAGAUUAUGGGCCACUCAGCCUUCUUGAAGAGGGCUAUAACUCCUGGGUAUGUUCCAAAUUGUUCAUGUCGCUGACUCUUUUGGUGACCCCUUGUCCUCUCUCGCCCCAAAUCUGUUUAGAUUUAUUCUGCAGACAGGUAAAACUGAGAACUUCAAUCCAGCAUUUUAGUUCUGCUGAAUGAUUUUUCUAUUCGCUCUUAAACUCCUUUUAAAGAAUGUUUUAUUCAUUUUAUAGCUAUACUUUCACAGAUAUAGAUAUGUAUAAUUUCUACAUAAACAUAUAUUUUUUUAUAAAUGUACAUAUCUAUGUAUGUAUUUGUAUUUCUAUGUAAAUAUAGAUUUGUACACUCCACAUGUAAAUUUGACUUUAUUCACAUAAGCCAUAGCAUGUCCUUUUCUAAGUAUAUCAUACUCAUUCAAGAUGUCCAAUAAUCCUUCACCUUGUCUCUGUUAAUUUGUGCAGUUAAGACAGUAAAAUUUCAGGCUUUAAUCCUCUGUAUUUUAGCUGAUGGCUUUUAUUUUAAAGGCACAAAAAAUGAUAUUCCAAUUAAUUUAAAUCCAGAGCUGUAGUGCACUGUAUUUUAUUUAUUCAGCUAUUUCAUCUUUGAAUUUUAUAAAGAUUUUUAGUCUAAG